GACGAACGCUGGCGGCGUGCUUAACACAUGCAAGUCGAACGGAAAGGCCCUGCUUUUGUGGGGUGCUCGAGUGGCGAACGGGUGAGUAACACGUGAGUAACCUGCCCUUGACUUUGGGAUAACUUCAGGAAACUGGGGCUAAUACCGGAUAGGAGCUCCUGCUGCAUGGUGGGGGUUGGAAAGUUUCGGCGGUUGGGGAUGGACUCGCGGCUUAUCAGCUUGUUGGGGGGGUAGGGGCUUACCAAGGCUUUGACGGGUAGCCGGCCUGAGAGGGUGACCGGCCACAUUGGGACUGAGAUACGGCCCAGUCUCCUACGGGAGGCAGCAGUGGGGAAUAUUGCACAAUGGGCGGAAGCCUGAUGCAGCAACGCCGCGUGCGGGAUGACGGCCUUCGGGUUGUAAACCGCUUUCGCCUGUGACGAAGCGUGAGUGACGGUAAUGGGUAAAGAAGCACCGGCUAACUACGUG
Molecule: ribosomal RNA, 468 nt
Filed under: uncultured bacterium
Lineage: Bacteria
Description: partial 16S ribosomal RNA
Rfam family: Bacterial small subunit ribosomal RNA
Source: RNAcentral